UUGCUUCUAUCAAUCUUAGUGGCGAACGGGUGAGUAACGCGUAAUCAACCUGCCCUUCAGAGGGGGACAACAGUUGGAAACGACUGCUAAUACCGCAUACGAUCUAAUCUCGGCAUCGAGGAUAGAUGAAAGGUGGCCUCUACAUGUAAGCUAUCACUGAAGGAGGGGAUUGCGUCUGAUUAGCUAGUUGGAGGGGUAACGGCCCACCAAGGCGAUGAUCAGUAGCCGGUCUGAGAGGAUGAACGGCCACAUUGGGACUGAGACACGGCCCAGACUCCUACGGGAGGCAGCAGUGGGGAAUCUUCCGCAAUGGACGAAAGUCUGACGGAGCAACGCCGCGUGAGUGAUGACGGCCUUCGGGUUGUAAAGCUCUGUUAAUCGGGACGAAAGGCCUUCUUGCGAAUAGUGAGAAGGAUUGACGGUACCGGAAUAGAAAGCCACGGCUAACUACGUGCCAGCAGCCGCGGUAAUACGUAGGUGGCAAGCGUUGUCCGGAAUUAUUGGGCGUAAAGCGCGCGCAGGCGGAUCAGUCAGUCUGUCUUAAAAGUUCGGGGCUUAACCCCGUGAUGGGAUGGAAACUGCUGAUCUAGAGUAUCGGAGAGGAAAGUGGAAUUCCUAGUGUAGCGGUGAAAUGCGUAGAUAUUAGGAAGAACACCAGUGGCGAAGGCGACUUUCUGGACGAAAACUGA
RNAcentral lists this ribosomal RNA (689 nucleotides) under Veillonella parvula. RNAcentral describes it as "bacterial SSU rRNA". It matches the Rfam family "Bacterial small subunit ribosomal RNA", at positions 76 to 743 of the family's 1533-position model. The record is from RNAcentral. Lineage: Bacteria; Bacillati; Bacillota; Negativicutes; Veillonellales; Veillonellaceae.